GAUGAACGCUAGCGGCAGGCUUAACACAUGCAAGUCGAGGGGCAGCAUAAACAUUGCUUGCAAUGUUUGAUGGCGACCGGCGCACGGGUGCGUAACGCGUAUGUAACCUACCUCAAACAGGGGCAUAACACUGAGAAAUUGGUACUAAUUCCCCAUAACACUCAUUAAGGCAUCUUUUUGAGUUGAAAGUUCCGGCGGUUUGAGAUGGACGUGCGUUGUAUUAGCUAGUUGGUGAGGUAACGGCUCACCAAGGCGACGAUCAGUAGCCGGCCUGAGAGGGCGGACGGCCACAUUGGGACUGAGACACGGCCCAG
RNAcentral lists this ribosomal RNA (314 nucleotides) under uncultured bacterium. RNAcentral's name for it is "bacterial SSU rRNA". It matches the Rfam family "Bacterial small subunit ribosomal RNA", at positions 28 to 334 of the family's 1533-position model. The record is from RNAcentral.